Long non-coding RNA from Astatotilapia calliptera (eastern happy), 687 nucleotides. The record is from Ensembl. NCBI's taxonomy places the organism in Eukaryota, Metazoa, Chordata, Actinopteri, Cichliformes, Cichlidae.
UAAUAGAUGAGGGGAGAGGAGGAGAAAAAAGAACUACAACCAGACAAAGCUCCUAGAAGACUGAAAUGGAUGAUGGUUGCAGCAUGCAAAAAGAAAAUGAUAUCUGUUGACUACAGCAUAUGCUUUCUCACAGAUUACCUUGUGGGAGUAGCUGGACCAAACUCUAUUGGUAUUUCAAGUUUGAAAUCCCUGUUUGACCAGACAAACAUUUCAGAUGAGGUAAUAGAUGGCCUAAUCUAUUUGCACUGUGAGAAUUUCCCUCACAUUUAUCCAAUACCAAGCCAAAUCACUGGAAAAAUUUUGGAUGGGUCCACAAGAGCACAAAGUGCAUACUUUUUGAAGAAAAACAUCUUUCAGAUGUAUGAGAAAUUGAUUGGAGCCUGUCUGGAAAACGGCAGCCACUGGACCUUGUUUGUGCAGUGCCAGAAAUGUGGUGCAUACAAGCACAUGCGUUGUUCAAAGUCUGUUUGUGGCAUCUGUAUCUUCUGUGAGAGGCCGUAAAGCCAAACUGCCCGCAAUGAUUCUUGACAGGCCUAAGAAGGCCAAAACUAAAGUAACAGUGUUUAGUGUUCUGAGUGAAGAGGAGGCUGGGGAGCUAGCCCUCGGGUUUGCCGGAAGAUUGGCCUGCGAUGUCACAAGAGACAUGGUCUGUAAAGGCAUCGACCAUUCAAGUGCUGAUAUGACAAA